Molecule: ribosomal RNA, 249 nt
Filed under: uncultured bacterium
Lineage: Bacteria
Description: partial 16S ribosomal RNA
Rfam family: Bacterial small subunit ribosomal RNA
Source: RNAcentral
UACGGGGGGGGCAAGCGUUGUCCGGAAUCAUUGGGCGUAGAGAGCGUGUAGGCGGCUCGGUAAGUCCGCUCUGAAAGCCCGGGGGCUCAACCCCGGGGAGGCGGGCGGAUACUGUCGGGCUAGAGUCCGGAAGAGGCGAGUGGAAUUCCUGGGUGUAGCGGUGAAAUGCGCAGAUAUCAGGAGGAACACCAAUGGCGAAGGCAGCUCGCUGGGACGGUACUGACGCUGAGACGCGAAAGCGUGGGGAGC